Molecule: long non-coding RNA, 2548 nt
Organism: Pongo pygmaeus (Bornean orangutan)
Lineage: Eukaryota; Metazoa; Chordata; Mammalia; Primates; Hominidae
Exons: 3
Source: RefSeq, a predicted model, not a curated record
AUGUUGAUUCAGUUGUAAAGUCUUCAAAGAUUUAGGCUUGCAAAAGGGCCUUGCACAACUGUAGGAUUUUAUUUAUUUAUGCAUUGUUAUUGACUUUAAAAUAUUCUUUUUUCUCCCCACAGAGAACUUUUCCAACCAGCAGUGGGGCCCUUAGCAGGGGAGACUGGAAACAGAUAUGGUGAUUAAAUGAUCCACACACGGGCUGGGCGCGGUAGCUCACGCCUGUAAUCCCAGCACUUUGAGAGGCUGAGGCAGGCGGAUCACCUGAGGUCAGAAGUUCGAGACCAGCCUGACCAACAUGGAGAAACCCCAUCUCUACUAAAAAUACAAAAUUAGCCGGGCAUGGUGGUGCAUGUCUGUAAUCUCAGCUACUUGGGAGGCUGAGGCAGGAGAAUCGCUUGAAUCCAGGAGGUGGAUGUUGCGACCCUUUAUGCAUUGAAAGAAGAAAGUAGAACCAUUUCUGGGUCCCAGCUGUGGGAAGACCUCCUGUUGCUGUGGAUUCUGACUUCUGGGUCUUGGCGCAGGGUGUGGCCAGCAAGCUAAGCUGUCCUGAGGGUGUGCUGGGCCAGGGGCUGAAGACAGUGUUGGAGCAUCCACAGACUGGUUUGUCUCAAGAAGCAUGUUACUAAAUAUGAAAUAGCAAAAUCUGCAAGUGGGUUUACUUUUCCCCAGUAGAUUAGAAUGGAUUCAAUAUUAUCUCUUUAUUAACUUCACUUUUAAUCACUUGCAUAGCAAGUAGGACAGAAAGGUGGCUUGAAAGUCAAUCAUCUGAGAAUUCCAGAUAAAUUGACUUUGCUCACAACAAUCUGGUAUUCAUGUGACUAUCAACUGUCAUGUGUGCUGGGGCAAAAAAAGAUUAAGAUUCACUGGUCUCAGUUCCAGGAGGGGAAACCCAGGAUUGAAUUUUUUCAGCCUUCUAUGAUAAAAUUUCCUGCUCUGUGGGUGCGCCAAAGCUUUUUUCAGUUUCCUAAACUCCCAUAUUCAAGAAGAGAAGCUAUUUUCUCUUCUUUCUCAUCCUUCCUUGACAAAGCAAAACAUAUUUUCAUUGUCUACUCUGUGUCAUCCAUGCUUGGUUCCUGUCCUCAAACAGCUUGUAGUUCAAAUAAAGGAGAGGGAGAAUUUUACAAGGGAAUUAAAGGUAAAAGUUUCUGAAAGCCAGUUAAAAAAGUCGUGAGGGAGGGGUCUGGGAGAAGCUGAGCAGGGGUGAAAGGGUACGAAACAUUAUGGAAGGAGAACGGGGAACACCCUGACUACUGGGUGGAAACACCAAUCAGUGGGUAGAAACCACACAGUGGUAACACUGAUUAGUGGGUAGAAACCAAUGACAGCAGGUAUAUGAGGCAUGGAGCACUUGGCUUAUUGUAAAGUUUUCAAGAUAUGUGGUCCUUUCUAUCCACCAGGGGAUGGGAGUUUUCUUUGUAUAUCAGCCAUGGAAGGGCUGUUUUGGUUCAUCGUUCUGUGGUCUACCUGGGUAGACCUGAAGCAGCCGUGUUUCUGAGGAAAGGAAGAACAGCUUUUGUUUUGUGAUAUUUAAUGGUAGAUGUAGUGCCAUGGAAUGAUGCAGAUUUCAUUCAGAUAUUCUUGGAUCUUGGCCCCAGGACUCACUCAUUCUUCCCUAUAUGAGCAUUGGUAGUUACAGGUUUUAUCCUUCCUUUAACUGUCUUUUGAAGGCAAAAACUAUAUCCAAUUUGUCACUGUCUCCUAACAGUACUUAGCAGUGUCUGAUGCAUCUUAGGGAGUUUGUAAAUGUUUGGAUGAAUAAAGGGAAAACAAAAACAACAACAAAAAACCUUCAUUUUGCUUUAAUAAAAAUAUUUUAACUAGUUUCCACUGGUAUGUUGUAGAUAUAUUCUAAGAAACAGUAUCUUCAAAUGAUGGCUUCAAUAAUGGAUGAAAAAUCGAUUUCCUAAUGAAUUAUUUUAUAGAAAGCACCACACACACACCCACACACACACCCAACAUCAAUUAAAAAGUCAUUUGAAAUUUUAAGAACUAUAGGAUAAUAAUAGGUAAUCCAUGUGAAGUUAUGACAGCUUGUAAGGCCAGGGAGGGCAUGAGGAAAUGAAACACACAGAUCAUCUUCAAACCACAGAAGCUCAGACUUCUCUUGCUCUGAAAGUUGACGAUCAGUGAAAAGCCCAGUGGUAGUUGAGUUUUACCUCCUCUUCUUCUGUAUAAUCCCUUUUUUGGUGAAAGCAGAGAUGUCAUGGACAAUGUAGGAUUUCAUCAAAUCUGAGAGGCCAUUGAUUGUAAGACGGCAUUGUUUUAGGUAUCACUAAGAAAGAAAAAAAGCCUUGCCAAGUAAACUCCCCAAAUUCAGAGACAUUCAAAUGUUGAAAAAUAACUGUUUCAGAAUCUAUGAAAUACAGACAAUUCUCCCUAAUGCUUGGCCCAGGGCUUUGCAUACCACAGGUGGUCAAUAAGCAUUUGUUGAGUGAGUGAAUAAUGUUGACCAGCAGAAAUGCCUGGUUUAUAAUGCCUAGAGCCCAUCACUGAGAACAAUGGGCUAGAUCCCUUCUUGAUGUUUUAAGUAAUCGCUGAGAGAAUG